UGUCUUAAGACACACAUUUAAAGUUUGAACAAUACAGAGAAAAGUAGUUAUGGCCCCUCUGCAAGGAUGACACACAAAUUUGUAAAGCGUUUAAAAUAAAA
This 101-nucleotide small nuclear RNA is filed under the name Carlito syrichta (Philippine tarsier). Lineage: Eukaryota; Metazoa; Chordata; Mammalia; Primates; Tarsiidae. The record is from RNAcentral.